RNAcentral lists this long non-coding RNA (206 nucleotides) under Manihot esculenta (cassava). Its description in RNAcentral is "long non-coding RNA (MESC_LNC012568)". Lineage: Eukaryota; Viridiplantae; Streptophyta; Magnoliopsida; Malpighiales; Euphorbiaceae. The record is from RNAcentral.
GAGCCAAGUUUCUGCCCUUUGGCAGAAACCAGGUUCGGCAGCCGAAGGAACUUUCAGCCGCCGAACAUGGCUGGGGAGGCAGGCCUUUCGGCUGCCGAAGUUGCCCCCGAAAAGAGACUUUUGUCUCUGUCUGGGACUUUCGGCCGCCGAAGGUGCCGCCGAACCUGCCUGGGUUUCGGCUCUGGAGGGACUUUCGGCCGCCGAAG